CAGUGAAAUGUGAAUCAAACAGUGCCCUGCAAACUGACACUCUAGAUGAAGCAACGAGCCUGAGCUGCUGAAAGCAAAGGGAAGAGGCUACAACUCCUUAAAUUUGCUCUUAUCUGAUUGCCCUUCCAAAAGGUUUCAGUAUCCUGAACCAUCUGAUCUCACCUAGUAAAGCCGCAGCACGUCAAUUGAUCAGCCUUCUCCUCUUUGUUCUCAGGCAGCGUUCACCGAGAUGCUAAGCUGUAUUAGCUUUGGAUACAUUGAUACAGACAAGAAAUGUCGUGUGCAGACGAGGAGGCGGUCUGCGGGGAGGCAGGGACAGCCCGUCCAUCGCCCAUCACCCGGGCACGGUCAUGAUGCUCCCGUGGGGAAUCACAGCACCCCCAGCAGACAUUAAACCUCAGCCACGUUAAGAUAGGGACUUUGGAGAACUCACCCAACCCUGCUGAGACCAAAGGCUUAACCAGAAACUGUUGGUCCUUAAAAAGGUUCUCAUUUCUUCUCUGAGCUAAAAAUUGCUUCUCACAGCUCAAAUUCCAAGUGAGUGAAUAAAAUGCAGAGUGUAUGAACACUUUGAUGUAAGAAAAAAGUCUUUAUUUUUAGAGCGGAGAAAGACCUGUGGAUGAGACAAGCAAGCACCUUUGGAGGAUGCUGAUGCUGCGGCUUGCUUUACAUGGGUGGAAGAUGCAGCUCACCACCUUUAUCUCUCAUGAUGGUAACUUGAAUGCAGGAAGCCACAUGUCUCUCCCCAGAUUUCAUUAAGUGACUCUGAAUUGGAAAGCUGAUCUUUUCCUAAAGCUGGCACCAUUUUCUGUAUUGAAACAAAAGAAGAAUUAAUCAGGCUAUUGGAAGCCGAGACUAGGUAUACUCAAAAACCUACAUAGCUUUUCAAUGGGAUGGGAAAGAGGAUGGUUUUGGCCAGGCUGCAGAACACAUUUUUCUUGUAACCAGAAUCCUGGCAAGCUAUUUUGCUGUGUGAAUACCUUUACCAUUGAGAAAACACAAUGAAAAUCAAGGUCAUGGUGUGGUUUAGGUUUCCUGCAUGAAAAACCACCAUCCUGUAGGUCUCAGCUUAUCAUCAACCUGUGCAUGAGGCUCAGGAGCUACCCUAGCGGCUCAUUUCAUGCAGUUGCAGGCCAAUUCAGCUUCUCAGCCGUGGAUUUUUAUCUUCUCUGUGAGUCGAUGUUCUGCUAUUAGCCAGCCAAGCUGCUGCUUUGCCACAUUGUCCCCACAAGCUGCAGGCGGGACCAUCACCAGCUCAAGGCUCCAUAACAACAUUUGAAGGUGACCUUGCACCCAUCCCUCCUGUCAAGUGAAUGCAAUAUUUCUCUUUUCCAAAGUAGUGUUCUGUAGCUUAAAGGAUUGAUAUAAAACCCUCCAACAGUGACGUGAGAGACACUGGAUUGGGUCCUGAAUUGCACAAUCAAGUCCAAGAUGUUUUGCGGUGCCCCAUCACCUGGUUACCCACAUCCUCAUGGUCUUUGCUUCCCAAAAUGAACCAUUCUUGCCUGACCCAGACAAAACCAAGACAAUAAGGAAAAAGAUCCCUUCAGUUUUGUAGUCCUUUAUUUUUUUUUUUUUAAGUUGAUCCUCCCAUAGUAAUGUACUGAAAUGCGUAACAGUUACAUUGUACAAAGCAUUUAAAGAAAGUACCUCAACUUGCCGAUUAUUCCAAAAUGAGAUUAUAAACAAAAGGAAAAAUAAAUCUGGUCCCUCACUAAAGGCCAAAAAAAAAAAAAAAAACAAAAAAAAAACCAAAUAA
Long non-coding RNA from Columba livia (rock pigeon), 1759 nucleotides. RefSeq lists it as uncharacterized. Lineage: Eukaryota; Metazoa; Chordata; Aves; Columbiformes; Columbidae. The record is from RefSeq and is a predicted model, not a curated record. The transcript is spliced from 9 exons.